GACGAACGCUGGCGGCGUGCCUAAUACAUGCAAGUAGAACGCUGAAGUAAGAGCUUGCUCUUACGGAUGAGUUGCGAACGGGUGAGUAACACGUGGGGAACCUACCUUCUAGCGGGGGAUAACACAUAGAAAUGUGUGCUAAUACCGCAUAAUAGUAUUUGAUGCAUAUCAGAUAUUUGAAAGGCGCAAUUGCGUCACUAGAAGAUGGCCCCGCGGUGCAUUAGCUAGUUGGUGAGGUAACGGCUCACCAAGGCAAUGAUGCAUAGCCGACCUGAGAGGGUGAUCGGCCACACUGGGACUGAGACACGGCCCAGACUCCUACGGGAGGCAGCAGUAGGGAAUCUUCGGCAAUGGACGCAAGUCUGACCGAGCAACGCCGCGUGAGUGAAGAAGGUUUUCGGAUCGUAAAACUCUGUUGUAAGAGAAGAACGUUGAUGAGAGUGGAAAGUUCAUCAAGGACGUAUCUACCAGAAGCC
This 476-nucleotide ribosomal RNA is filed under the name Enterococcus sp. oral taxon A78. RNAcentral's name for it is "bacterial SSU rRNA". It matches the Rfam family "Bacterial small subunit ribosomal RNA", at positions 28 to 492 of the family's 1533-position model. Lineage: Bacteria; Bacillati; Bacillota; Bacilli; Lactobacillales; Enterococcaceae. The record is from RNAcentral.